GAUGAACGCUGGCGGCGUGCCUAAUACAUGCAAGUCGAGCGAACAGACGAGGAGCUUGCUCCUCUGACGUUAGCGGCGGACGGGUGAGUAACACGUGGAUAACCUACCUAUAAGACUGGGAUAACUUCGGGAAACCGGAGCUAAUACCGGAUAAUAUAUUGAACCGCAUGGUUCAAUAGUGAAAGACGGUUUUGCUGUCACUUAUAGAUGGAUCCGCGCCGCAUUAGCUAGUUGGUAAGGUAACGGCUUACCAAGGCGACGAUGCGUAGCCGACCUGAGAGGGUGAUCGGCCACACUGGAACUGAGACACGGGCCAGACUCCUACGGGAGGCAGCAGUAGUGAAUCUUCCGCAAUGGGCGAAAGCCUGACGGAGCAACGCCGCGUGAGUGAUGAAGGUCUUCGGAUCGUAAAACUCUGUUAUUAGGGAAGAACAAAUGUGUAAGUAACUAUGCACGUCUUGACGGUACCUAAUCAGAAAGCCACGGCUAACUACGUG
RNAcentral lists this ribosomal RNA (497 nucleotides) under uncultured bacterium. RNAcentral describes it as "partial 16S ribosomal RNA". It matches the Rfam family "Bacterial small subunit ribosomal RNA", at positions 28 to 507 of the family's 1533-position model. The record is from RNAcentral.